This 27-nucleotide ribosomal RNA is filed under the name Primulina sinovietnamica. RNAcentral's name for it is "partial small subunit ribosomal RNA". Lineage: Eukaryota; Viridiplantae; Streptophyta; Magnoliopsida; Lamiales; Gesneriaceae. The record is from RNAcentral.
GUAGGUGACCUUGCGGAAGGAUCAUGG